CACACCCCAGGCUGACCCCAGCGCCAUCGUAGGGGUCAGCGACACAGAGUCCAUUUCUGGAAGGGACAAUGAGGAUGUUUUCUACACUGAGGCAGAGAUGGAGAGAAGGCGCAUGUCAAGCACAUCAUCCACCAUCUCCUGUACCUCUCAAUCUCACUGGUCCCCUACACCAGACUGGGUCCUCUCCUGGAAGUGUAAGCUCCCCCUACAGACCAUAAUGCGCCUGCUGCAGGUGCUGGUCCCGCAGGUUGAGAAGAUCUGUAU
Coregonus clupeaformis (lake whitefish) is the source of this 264-nucleotide long non-coding RNA. RefSeq lists it as uncharacterized. Lineage: Eukaryota; Metazoa; Chordata; Actinopteri; Salmoniformes; Salmonidae. The record is from RefSeq and is a predicted model, not a curated record. The transcript is spliced from 3 exons.